AUGAUCUGUUUGGUUGAAGCGGAUUGGUUCCGUCUUUGGAAACCAGCCGGAGCCGGUACGGGCGAUGUAAUCGGAAAUCGCGAACCAAAGACGUCUAGAUGGAGUAAGUUCCUGACGGACACGGACGGACCAGGUCGCCAUAUAAUCAGAUCCAGACGUUUCUUCUUUCUCCCCCCAAAAAGAGAUCGUUAUCCAGAGUGCCAGACGCGCUCCGCAGCAGACAUCGAAGAACCCUACUUCAUGGCCACGACGCAGCAGCAGCCGUGGUUGGUACAAUUCAACGGGACAAGCAAACCCAUCUUCGUCGCGCCGUUCGACGGAUGUCGCCGCUGGGACGAGGCGCCGGACAUGCCGGUGUUGCAAGGAAAACGAUGCCUCGGCCGGGACGGAGACUGGUCGCUCAUGCUCGACGACCGCACCAACGAGUGCUCCCUCGUGAACUUCGCUGAUACGUCGUCGGAACCCAUCGUGAUCGCUCUCCCGCCGUUGCCUGACGAGCCAAAGCUGCAUCUACAGUUCGGCUGCGCGCUCUCGGGGCAAACCCCGCCCGACUGCACCGUCCUGCUCGACUUCGUCGGGGAGACGUUCCUCCUCCACUGCCGCCCCGGUGACCCCGAGUGGUCCCGUCUUCCUGUGGAGCUCGUCGAUGAGAAUGAUUGGUUCGACGGCCCUAUAACCCGUGGCUACCAGGGGAAGAUGUACGCGACGACCAUGUUAUCCUUUGUGGCCGUGGACGCAUCCAACUUGGCGCCGGUGGUCGAGAGGGCGGACAUGACGCCCCCACCCCCGUGCCCAGUCCAUACUGCGUACAAGUGCUACCCGGUGCCGUGUCCCGAUGGCGAGCUCUUCUCGGUGCGCUGCUGCAUCUUUGGGUGCCCGCAGGCCGUGGUGGAUGUGAAGGUUUUUCGAUGGAACGAUGAAGAAAAUGCGUGGGAGACUGUCGAAACCAUCGGGGACAAAACGUUCUUUGUAGGCAGGUUUAAUUUUGUGGUCCUGUCGGCGGCUGAAGCAGGAACCCAACCUAACUGCAUCCAUGUGCUGCGUGAAGUUUGCGGUGAAUUUGGAAUCUACACCGUGUCUCUGGAUGAUGCGACCAUUUGGCUCAGUAUAGUCGAGGGAUGCGACGAUGAUGACGAUGAUGGUGAGGACCAGGUUUUCUGGGCUCUUCCCACUAGCUUUGGUCUGGAAGCAGCACGAACUAUCCAAACUUCUGAUAAUGUCUCCAACGAAGUGACGCAUACAAGAAUUGAACAUUGCUGCGGAGAGCAAGAAAAAGAAGACAUGACGAUGAGCACUGUGAGGCGGUGGUGUGAUCUCCAUACUGACUUGUUGCAGUUACUAGUACCUAAGAUUUCAUUCAUCGAUUUACUACACCUGAAAGCUGUCUGCAAGCAGUGGAACUCCAUUAAGAGCCCGAUCCAGCAUGCAAAAGUGUCGCCAUUGCUGAUGACAACUCGGCCAGCAAGAAGGACCAAGGAGGACCUUAUCGAGAUCUUCGAUCCAGUCGGCGAGAAGAAGUAUAGUAUCAGGGUAAAUAUCCCUACUUCGGGUCUCAAAUCUCAAGGGUCGCAGUUACUGCAUUUCACAAAGAACGGUUGGGUCAUCGUGUCGAGAGGCGGCGACCGCAUGUUCUUCCUAGUGAAUCCGUUCAAGAACUACCCUAAUGGUGGCCAUGUGAUCGCUCUUCCACCUUUGGAUGUCACUGGUCUCAAAGGAUUGUCCUUUUCUUCGGUGCCGGGUUCUCCGGAUUUUGUGGUUCUUGCCGCAGGAUCUACCCCAAGCAGCAAAGUUGUCAUGAUAAAGACAUGGCGAAUGGGAGAUGAAGAGUGGAAGGAAGAAUUCCUAAGCGACGAUGACGCGCCGUUCUUCAUGGCAUCACACAGCCCUGUCUUCCUAGACGGAGUAUUCUAUUUUCUAGACAUCAAUGGAAGGCUUGGAGUCAUAGACCCGAAUGAGGACGAGAUGGAGUUUAGCGUCCUGAAAAAGCCGGAUCAACCGAUACGUGGGAGCGCUGACGUGCAUCUUGAGGAAUGGGACUACAACUAUCUGGUGGAGUGGAAGGGGGAGCUAAUCGCCAUUUUCAGGGAGAAUGGUGAUGCAUCAGUCCGAAUGUUCAAGCUAGAAAGGUCUCAGAUGGUUUGGUUGGAGUUGCAAGAGAUGGAGGACGCGGCUGUGUUCUGGGAUAGGAGCAAUGCUCUGAUUGUCGUGUCACCCCCCGAAGAAGAUUUGUGCAACAAGAUGUUCCUACCAAACUAUAAUGAGACCAAUGGCGGUGGCAGGCUGCACACGUUCUACUCAUUUCGGGAGCAAUGCUAUUGCCCUUCCUUCUGUGCCAAGGAGCCCAUGAAUGCCAUAUGGUUCCAGCUAGACUUGGACGUACUUACGGCGACUGAUCAGUAG
RNAcentral lists this ribosomal RNA (2400 nucleotides) under Triticum aestivum (bread wheat). RNAcentral describes it as "partial small subunit ribosomal RNA". The record is from RNAcentral. Lineage: Eukaryota; Viridiplantae; Streptophyta; Magnoliopsida; Poales; Poaceae.